This is a non-coding RNA of Stereum hirsutum FP-91666 SS1, 94 nucleotides long. The record is from the annotation of a RefSeq genome assembly. Lineage: Eukaryota; Fungi; Basidiomycota; Agaricomycetes; Russulales; Stereaceae.
GGGCCCAUGGUGUACCGGUUGCAUGCUCGAGAUCCGUUGAACAGAGGUAGGAGUGUUUGUCGAGAGGAGGCCGGUUCGAAUCCGGCUGGGCCUA